This 71-nucleotide transfer RNA is filed under the name Sphaerodactylus townsendi. RNAcentral describes it as "tRNA-Ala". The record is from RNAcentral. Lineage: Eukaryota; Metazoa; Chordata; Lepidosauria; Squamata; Sphaerodactylidae.
GGACCGUGGCUCAGCGGUAGAGUAUCUGCUUGGCGUGCAGAAGGUCCCAGGUUCAUUCCCCAUCAUCUCCA